GACGAACGCUGGCGGCGUGCCUAAUACAUGCAAGUCGAACGCACUCUCGUUUAGAUUGAAGGAGUUUGCUCCUGAUUGAUAAACAUUUGAGUGAGUGGCGGACGGGUGAGUAACACGUGGGUAACCUGCCCUAAAGUGGGGGAUAACAUUUGGAAACAGAUGCUAAUACCGCCUAAAACCUAACACCGCAUGGUGUAGGGUUGAAAGAUGGUUUCGGCUAUCACUUUAGGAUGGACCCGCGGUGCAUUAGUUAGUUGGUGAGGUAAAGGCUCACCAAGACCGUGAUGCAUAGCCGACCUGAGAGGGUAAUCGGCCACACUGGGACUGAGACACGGCCCAGACUCCUACGGGAGGCAGCAGUAGGGAAUCUUCCACAAUGGACGAAAGUCUGAUGGAGCAACGCCGCGUGAGUGAAGAAGGUUUUCGGAUCGUAAAACUCUGUUGUUGGAGAAGAAUGUAUCUGAUAGUAACUGAUCAGGUAGUGACGGUAUCCAACCAGAAAGCCACGGCUAACUACGUG
RNAcentral lists this ribosomal RNA (520 nucleotides) under uncultured bacterium. Its description in RNAcentral is "partial 16S ribosomal RNA". It matches the Rfam family "Bacterial small subunit ribosomal RNA", at positions 28 to 507 of the family's 1533-position model. The record is from RNAcentral.